AACUUUCAACAACGGAUCUCUUGGUUCUGGCAUCGAUGAAGAACGCAGCGAAAUGCGAUAAGUAGUGUGAAUUGCAGAAUUCAGUGAAUCAUCGAAUCUUUGAACGCACAUUGCGCCCCUUGGUAUUCCAUGGGGCAUGCCUGUUCGAGCGUCAU
This 155-nucleotide ribosomal RNA is filed under the name Phoma herbarum. Its description in RNAcentral is "5.8S ribosomal RNA". It matches the Rfam family "5.8S ribosomal RNA". Rfam says of the family: 5.8S ribosomal RNA (5.8S rRNA) is a component of the large subunit of the eukaryotic ribosome. It is transcribed by RNA polymerase I as part of the 45S precursor that also contains 18S and 28S rRNA. The record is from RNAcentral. Lineage: Eukaryota; Fungi; Ascomycota; Dothideomycetes; Pleosporales; Didymellaceae. RNAcentral also lists the same sequence under 2 other names.